This 294-nucleotide ribosomal RNA is filed under the name uncultured prokaryote. Its description in RNAcentral is "partial 16S ribosomal RNA". It matches the Rfam family "Archaeal small subunit ribosomal RNA", at positions 474 to 771 of the family's 1478-position model. The record is from RNAcentral.
CACCGGCAGCUCUAGUGGUAACAAUUUUUAUUGGGCCCUAAAGCGUCCGUAGCCGGUUUAAUAAGUCUCUGGUGAAAUCCUGUAGCUUAACUGUGGGAAUUGCUGGAGAUACUAUUAGACUUGAGACCGGGAGAGGUUAGAGGUACUCCCAGGGUAGAGGUGAAAUUCUGUAAUCCUGGGAGGACCGCCUGUUGCGAAGGCGUCUAACUGGAACGGUUCUGACGGUGAGGGACGAAAGUUAGGGGCGCGAAACCGGAUUAGAUACCCUGGUAGUCCCUGAGCGGGCUGGCAAGG